GUGUCAGCCGCCGCGGUAAUACGUAGGGUGCGAGCGUUGUCCGGAAUUACUGGGCGUAAAGAGCUCGUAGGCGGUUUGUCGCGUCGUCUGUGAAAUCCCGCAGCUCAACUGCGGGCUUGCAGGCGAUACGGGCAGACUCGAGUACUGCAGGGGAGACUGGAAUUCCUGGUGUAGCGGUGAAAUGCGCAGAUAUCAGGAGGAACACCGGUGGCGAAGGCGGGUCUCUGGGCAGUAACUGACGCUGAGGAGCGAAAGCGUGGGUAGCGAACAGGAUUAGAAACCCGAGUAGUCC
Molecule: ribosomal RNA, 292 nt
Filed under: uncultured Rhodococcus sp.
Lineage: Bacteria; Bacillati; Actinomycetota; Actinomycetes; Mycobacteriales; Nocardiaceae
Description: partial 16S ribosomal RNA
Rfam family: Bacterial small subunit ribosomal RNA
Source: RNAcentral